Molecule: long non-coding RNA, 377 nt
Organism: Prosopis cineraria
Lineage: Eukaryota; Viridiplantae; Streptophyta; Magnoliopsida; Fabales; Fabaceae
Exons: 3
Source: RefSeq, a predicted model, not a curated record
UCCUUCCCCUGCUUCACCGUCGUUGCUCUGCUCACCUUCAUUGAGGUCGUGGUGAGUGCGUGUUCCUCCUCUUCGACUGUGGCUCGCCGCCGCUGCCGGGGAGAGCUCAGAGGCUCCGUCUGCCACCUCAUGGGUUUGAGUUUGUUGUGCUGUGGGAGUUAAUUCUUGGCUGUGAGAGGUUCGUUUUGUUGGCCGUCGCUCUUUUCGCCUGCACUUGCCGUCGUUCCUUUCUCCCUGUGUCUGCCAAUGUGAACGAAGUAGGAGUUGAAAUACAAGCAGGUAAUGACACCUAGAAAGAAAACUACAAAUGCUCCUGAAAAGGUCCAUAAGAAGGCAUCUUGGAAGCCCACUUCCUCUGAAUGAUGUGGUUGUAUGUU